RNAcentral lists this ribosomal RNA (51 nucleotides) under Chenopodium quinoa (quinoa). The record is from RNAcentral. Lineage: Eukaryota; Viridiplantae; Streptophyta; Magnoliopsida; Caryophyllales; Amaranthaceae.
GAGUAGUACUAGGAUGGGUGACCUCCUGGGAAGUCCUCGUGUUGCACCCCU